This 253-nucleotide ribosomal RNA is filed under the name uncultured bacterium. RNAcentral's name for it is "partial 16S ribosomal RNA". It matches the Rfam family "Bacterial small subunit ribosomal RNA", at positions 524 to 776 of the family's 1533-position model. The record is from RNAcentral.
UACGUAGGGGGCUAGCGUUGCUCGGAAUUACUGGGCGUAAAGGGCGCGUAGGCGGCACUGUUAGUCAGGCGUGAAAGUCCUGGGCUCAACCUGGGAACUGCGCUUGAUACGGCAGAGCUAGAGGAUGGAAGAGGGUCGCGGAAUUCCCAGUGUAGAGGUGAAAUUCGUAGAUAUUGGGAAGAACACCGGUGGCUAAGGCGGCUCUCUAGUACGGUACUGACGCUGAGACGCGAAAGCGUGGGGAGCGAACAGG